Molecule: transfer RNA, 74 nt
Filed under: Bdellovibrionales bacterium CG22_combo_CG10-13_8_21_14_all_38_13
Lineage: Bacteria; Pseudomonadati; Bdellovibrionota; Bdellovibrionia; Bdellovibrionales
Description: tRNA-Trp
Rfam family: tRNA
About the family: Transfer RNA (tRNA) molecules are approximately 80 nucleotides in length. Their secondary structure includes four short double-helical elements and three loops (D, anti-codon, and T loops). Further hydrogen bonds mediate the characteristic L-shaped molecular structure. tRNAs have two regions of fundamental functional importance: the anti-codon, which is responsible for specific mRNA codon recognition, and the 3' end, to which the tRNAs corresponding amino acid is attached (by aminoacyl-tRNA synthetases). tRNAs cope with the degeneracy of the genetic code in two manners: having more than one tRNA (with a specific anti-codon) for a particular amino acid; and 'wobble' base-pairing, i.e. permitting non-standard base-pairing at the 3rd anti-codon position.
Source: RNAcentral
AGUCCUAUAGUUUAACAGGAUAAAACGGAGCUUCCAAAGCUUUGCUCCAGGUUCGAGUCCUGGUGGGACGGCCA